This 1411-nucleotide ribosomal RNA is filed under the name metagenome. RNAcentral describes it as "SSU rRNA". It matches the Rfam family "Eukaryotic small subunit ribosomal RNA", at positions 3 to 1363 of the family's 1831-position model. The record is from RNAcentral.
CCUGGUUGAUCCUGCCAGUAGUCAUAUGCUUGUCUCAAAGAUUAAGCCAUGCAUGUCUAAGUAUAAACAACUUUAUACUGUGAAACUGCGAAUGGCUCAUUAAAUCAGUUAUAGUUUAUUUGAUAGUACCUUACUACUUGGAUAACCGUAGUAAUUCUAGAGCUAAUACAUGCGAAAAGACCCGACUUUUUGGAAGGGUUGCAUUUAUUAGAUACAAAACCAAUGGCCAGCAAUGGUCACACUUGGUGAUUCAUAAUAACUUUUGCGGAUCGCAUAGCUUUACGCUGGCGACGAAUCAUUCAAAUUUCUGCCCUAUCAACUUUCGAUGGUACGGUAUUGGCCUACCAUGGAUACAACGGGUAACGGGGAAUUAGGGUUCGGUUCCGGAGAGGGGGCCGGAGAAAUGGCCACCACAUCCAAGGAAGGCAGCAGGCGCGCAAAUUACCCAAUCCUGAUACAGGGAGGUAGUGACAAUAAAUAACAAUGCAGGACCUUUACGGGUUUUGUAAUUGGAAUGAGUACAAUUUAAAUCUCUUAACGAGUACCAAUUGGAGGGCAAGUCUGGUGCCAGCAGCCGCGGUAAUUCCAGCUCCAAUAGCGUAUAUUAAAGUUGUUGCAGUUAAAAAGCUCGUAGUUGAAUCUCGGAGUCCUUUUUUCUUCGGAAACGCCGAUGGUCGGAAACCCAGAGCCUCGAAAGGGGUGGAUGGGGCUGUUUACUUGAGGCAGGGCUCACAUCUGAGUUUCUCGAAGGUGGCCUCUGCUCUUCACUGGGUUGGGGGACUUUUUCACAUUCGAGACAUUUACUUUGAAAAAAUUAGAGUGUUCAAAGCAGGCAGUUUCGCUUGAAUACAUUAGCAUGGAAUAAUGGAAUAGGACUUUGGUCUUAUUUUGUUGGUUUCUAGGACUGAAGUAAUGAUUAAUAGGGACAGUUGGGGGCAUUAGUAUUUAAUUGUCAGAGGUGAAAUUCUUGGAUUUAUGAAAGACUAACUUCUGCGAAAGCAUUUGCCAAGGAUGUUUUCAUUAAUCAAGAACGAAAGUUAGGGGAUCGAAGACGAUUAGAUACCGUCGUAGUCCUAACCAUAAACUAUGCCGACUCGGGAUCGGUGAGCGUGUUUUUUUACUACCUCAUCAGCACCGUAGGAGAAAUCAAAGUUUUUGGGUUCUGGGGGGUGUAUGGUCGCAAGGCUGAAACUUAAAGGAAUUGACGGAAGGGCACACCAGGUUUGGAGCCUGCGGCUUAAUUUGACCCAACACGGGGAAACUCACCAGGUCCAGACUUCGUAAGGAUUGACAGAUUGAGAGCUCUUUCUUGAUUCGAUGGAAAGUGGUGCAUGGCCGUUCUUAGUUGGUGGAUUGCUCUGUCUGGUUUAUUCCGUUAACGAACGAGACCUUAACCUGCUAAAUAGUUACC